CAAGGGUUUGCUGCCUCUAACUCCUAAUUCAGCUCUUAACUUUCCCUAGCUCUGAAUUCAUCACUGAGGAAAUGGAGCUAAUAGGACUCCCUAUCUUGUAGGUUUGUGGUGGGAGAGAAAGGGCAAGAUUAACUUGGAUAGUGCAAAACACAGUGCUUGGCACACGACACUCCGUAAUGAUAGUUGUCUUGUUUUGUCUUGCAUCAGGUGCGCGUGGCCCAUCAUGAUCUCCACACACACACUCUCCAUGAGAAUAUGAUACAGAUGAGGAAACUGAUUCAGAGAGGUUAAAGAAUUAGCUCACAAUCACACAGGUAGCACAUAACUCCUCAUUCAGUUCUCCCCCACAGACAUGCCUGAGGGUCCCAGAGAAUGGAAGCCUCGGGGGAGAGAAACGACAGGGUACCUGGAUUCUUCAGGAAGCCAGAGAGGCCCCGCCCCACCUGCCACAAUUGCUGAGCUAAGCAGGACAGUGUGUGGUGGAGUUGUUGUCCGGACACAGGAUCAUCCGCCAGAGCCAGGUUGGGCCAACAGAGAGGACAUGGAAGUGAUCUGCUCCAGGCACUGCGCCCCUCCAGGCAGGACAAGCCAGGAUGAGGACAGUGUGGGGUGUAGCUGCCACCACCCAGUGCUGUCCAAGGAAGAUGGAGCAGCCACAUCCUGCACGGCAACACCAGGUGGCCAAGCCAGAGCGUGUGACCACUCGCCACUCCCCACCCACAGCAAAGAGGCGAGGCCUGCUGCCCAGCAGAGAGCAGCCCAGCCUAUGGCGGUCAGGAGCAGGUAUAGGCCACGUCCUCAACCUCAGGGGAGACACCAAAGACCCAAGGGGCUGGGACAGACACAGGCUGCCCAAGAGGGGUGAGGCUUGCUGAGGGACCUCCAGCUGCUCGGGCACCCCCGAAUGACUACGUUCUGCUUAUAAUUCCAUGGGGUCAUCACGGCAGGUGAGGGAACACAGGAGGCGGUUUCACAACACACCCUGGCAUGGGCGGCAGCCCCACACCGCGAAUCACCCUAUAGGCUCCGCUUCAUGGGUAACUGGAAUUCGAAGAUAAUUCGGAAAGUGACUGUGCACUUUCCGC
RNAcentral lists this long non-coding RNA (1085 nucleotides) under Rhinopithecus bieti (black snub-nosed monkey). RNAcentral's name for it is "lncRNA (ENSRBIG00000046151.1)". The record is from RNAcentral. Lineage: Eukaryota; Metazoa; Chordata; Mammalia; Primates; Cercopithecidae.